This 689-nucleotide ribosomal RNA is filed under the name uncultured Bacteroidales bacterium. RNAcentral's name for it is "bacterial SSU rRNA". It matches the Rfam family "Bacterial small subunit ribosomal RNA", at positions 66 to 744 of the family's 1533-position model. Lineage: Bacteria; Pseudomonadati; Bacteroidota; Bacteroidia; Bacteroidales. The record is from RNAcentral.
GGGGCAGCAUGGUCUUAGCUUGCUAAGGCCGAUGGCGACCGGCGCACGGGUGAGUAACACGUAUCCAACCUGCCGUCUACUCUUGGACAGCCUUCUGAAAGGAAGAUUAAUACAAGAUGGCAUCAUGAGUCCGCAUGUUCACAUGAUUAAAGGUAUUCCGGUAGACGAUGGGGAUGCGUUCCAUUAGAUAGUAGGCGGGGUAACGGCCCACCUAGUCUUCGAUGGAUAGGGGUUCUGAGAGGAAGGUCCCCCACAUUGGAACUGAGACACGGUCCAAACUCCUACGGGAGGCAGCAGUGAGGAAUAUUGGUCAAUGGGCGAGAGCCUGAACCAGCCAAGUAGCGUGAAGGAUGACUGCCCUAUGGGUUGUAAACUUCUUUUAUAAAGGAAUAAAGUCGGGUAUGGAUACCCGUUUGCAUGUACUUUAUGAAUAAGGAUCGGCUAACUCCGUGCCAGCAGCCGCGGUAAUACGGAGGAUCCGAGCGUUAUCCGGAUUUAUUGGGUUUAAAGGGAGCGUAGAUGGAUGUUUAAGUCAGUUGUGAAAGUUUGCGGCUCAACCGUAAAAUUGCAGUUGAUACUGGAUAUCUUGAGUGCAGUUGAGGCAGGCGGAAUUCGUGGUGUAGCGGUGAAAUGCUUAGAUAUCACGAAGAACUCCGAUUGCGAAGGCAGCCUGCUAAGCUGCAACUGAC